This is a long non-coding RNA of Canis lupus familiaris (dog), 329 nucleotides long. RefSeq lists it as uncharacterized. The record is from RefSeq and is a predicted model, not a curated record. Lineage: Eukaryota; Metazoa; Chordata; Mammalia; Carnivora; Canidae. The transcript is spliced from 3 exons.
CUAUAAGAUCUAGUGAGUGUCCGAAAGAAUCCUCCAGACCAAGAAAAUACAAAUUACUUCUUCUGUCUUUAAAGUCAUGGCUUAUGACUCUAAUGGUGUGUGCUACCCUUCCACAAAGAGUCACGAACAGACAUUUUCUUACUUUAUUGUGGAUCCAAUCAAGCGUCACGUUCAUGUUUUAUAUCACUGCUAUGGUGUGGGGAAAUGUCUUAACAUUGUUCUCUCAGAUGAUCUAUUUUAAUAUUGCUUUACUUACCAAUUUUUAAUUUUAAUGCCAAUUUAUAGGUAAACAUUUAUUUUGCAAGUUAAUUCAAAGAAAAGUAUAGAGA